Molecule: ribosomal RNA, 393 nt
Filed under: uncultured bacterium
Lineage: Bacteria
Description: partial 16S ribosomal RNA
Rfam family: Bacterial small subunit ribosomal RNA
Source: RNAcentral
AUACGGAGGAUGCGAGCGAUAUCCGGAUUUAUUGGGUUUAAAGGGAGCGUAGGUGGGAUAUUAAGUCAGCUGUGAAAGUUUGGGGCUCAACCUUAAAAUUGCAGUUGAUACUGGUUUCCUUGAGUACGGUAUAGGUGGGCGGAAUUCGUGGUGUAGCGGUGAAAUGCUUAGAUAUCACGAAGAACUCCGAUCGCGAAGGCAGCUCACCGGGCCGGAACUGACACUGAUGCUCGAAAGUGCGGGUAUCAAACAGGAUUAGAUACCCUGGUAGUCCGCACAGUAAACGAUGAAUACUUGUUUUCGGCGAUAUAAUGUCGGAGGCAAAGCGAAAGCGAUAAGUAUUCCACCUGGGGAGUACGCCGGCAACGGUGAAACUCAAAUGAAUUGGCGGGG